RNAcentral lists this ribosomal RNA (919 nucleotides) under uncultured archaeon. RNAcentral describes it as "bacterial SSU rRNA". It matches the Rfam family "Archaeal small subunit ribosomal RNA", at positions 1 to 922 of the family's 1478-position model. The record is from RNAcentral.
UUCCGGUUGAUCCUGCCGGAGGCCAUUGCUAUCGGAGUUCGAUUUAGCCAUGCUAGUCGCACGGGUUUAGACCCGUGGCGAAAAGCUCAGUAACACGUGGCCAAACUACCCUAUGGAUCAGAAUAACCUCGGGAAACUGAGGACAAUUCUGAAUACCGCUCCUGCACUGGGAUGUGCGGAGCACGAAAUGCUUCGGCGCCAUAGGAUGUGGCUGCGGCCGAUUAGGUUGACGGUGGGGUAACGGCCCACCGUGCCCAUAAUCGGUACGGGUUGUGAGAGCAAGAGCCCGGAGACGGUAUCUGAGACAAGAUACCGGGCCCUACGGGGCGCAGCAGGCGCGAAACCUUUACACUGCACGACAGUGCGAUAAGGGAACUCCGAGUGCGAGGGCAUAGAGCCCUCGCUUUUGUACACCGUAAGGUGGUGCACGAAUAAGGGCUGGGCAAGACCGGUGCCAGCCGCCGCGGUAAUACCGGCAGCCCAAGUGAUGGCCGAUAUUAUUGGGCCUAAAGCGUCCGUAGCUGGCCGGACAAGUCCGUUGGGAAAUCCGCGCGCUCAACGCGCGGGCGUCCAGCGGAAACUGUCCGGCUUGGGGCCGGAAGACCUGAGGGGUACGUCCGGGGUAGGAGUGAAAUCCUGUAAUCUCGGACGGACCGCCUGUGGCGAAAGCGCCUCAGGAAGACGGACCCGACAGUGAGGGACGAAAGCCAGGGUCUCGAACCGGAUUAGAUACCCGGGUAGUCCUGGCUGUAAACGAUGUCCGCUAGGUGUGACGCAGGCUACGGGCCUGCGCUGUGCCGUAGGGAAGCCGUGAAGCGGACCGCCUGGGAAGUACGUCUGCAAGGAUGAAACUUAAAGGAAUUGGCGGGGGAGCACUACAACCGGAGGAGCCUGCGGUUUAAUUGGAUUCAACGCCGGG